GAGCGGAGAUUUGAAAAGCUUGCUUUUCAAAUCUUAGCGGCGGACGGGUGAGUAACACGUGGGCAACCUGCCCUUGAGACGGGGAUAACUCCGGGAAACCGGAGCUAAUACCGGAUAACACAUAUCUUCGCAUGAGGAUAUGUUAGAAGGUGGCUUUUAGCUACCACUCAAGGAUGGGCCCGCGGCGCAUUAGCUAGUUGGUGAGGUAACGGCUCACCAAGGCGACGAUGCGUAGCCGACCUGAGAGGGUGAUCGGCCACACUGGGACUGAGACACGGCCCAGACUCCUACGGGAGGCAGCAGUAGGGAAUCUUCCGCAAUGGACGAAAGUCUGACGGAGCAACGCCGCGUGAGUGAUGAAGGUUUUCGGAUCGUAAAGCUCUGUUGUUAGGGAAGAACAAGUACCUGUUGAAUAAGCAGGUACCUUGACGGUACCUAACCAGAAAGCCACGGCUAACUACGUGCCAGCAGCCGCGGUAAUACGUAGGUGGCAAGCGUUGUCCGGAAUUAUUGGGCGUAAAGCGCGCGCAGGCGGUUCCUUAAGUCUGAUGUGAAAGCCCACGGCUCAACCGUGGAGGGUCAUUGGAAACUGGGGAACUUGAGUGCAGAAAAGGAGAGCAGAAUUCCA
Molecule: ribosomal RNA, 628 nt
Filed under: Priestia filamentosa
Lineage: Bacteria; Bacillati; Bacillota; Bacilli; Caryophanales; Bacillaceae
Description: bacterial SSU rRNA
Rfam family: Bacterial small subunit ribosomal RNA
Source: RNAcentral